GAUGAAGAACGGAGCGAAAUGCGAUAAGUAGUGUGAAUUGCAGAAUUCAGUGAAUCAUCGAAUCUUUGAACGCACAUUGCGCCCUUUGGUAUUCCAAAGGGCAUGCCUGUUCGAGCGUCAUUUGUACCCUCAAGCUUUGCUUGGUGUUGGGCGUCUUGUCUCUAGCUUUGCUGGAGACUCGCCUUAAAGUAAUUGGCAGCCGGCCUACUGGUUUCGGAGCGCAGCACAAGUCGCACUCUCUAUCAGCAAAGGUCUAGCAUCCAUUAAGCCUUUUUUUCAACUUUUGACCUCGGAUCAGGGAGGGAUACCCGCUGAACUUAAGCAUAUCAAUAAGCGGAGGA
Molecule: unclassified non-coding RNA, 341 nt
Filed under: soil metagenome
Description: partial contains 5.8S ribosomal RNA, internal transcribed spacer 2, and large subunit ribosomal RNA
Rfam family: 5.8S ribosomal RNA (bases 1-120)
Source: RNAcentral